Molecule: transfer RNA, 85 nt
Filed under: Felis catus (domestic cat)
Lineage: Eukaryota; Metazoa; Chordata; Mammalia; Carnivora; Felidae
Also listed under: 2 other names
Rfam family: tRNA
About the family: Transfer RNA (tRNA) molecules are approximately 80 nucleotides in length. Their secondary structure includes four short double-helical elements and three loops (D, anti-codon, and T loops).
Source: Rfam by way of RNAcentral
GCCUGGGUGGCUCAGUCAGUUGAGCAUCUGACUUCAGCUCAGGUCAUGAUCUCAUGGUUUGUGAGUUCAAACCCCACCUCAGACU